GUGAAUCAUCGAAUCUUUGAACGCACCUUGCGCUCUUUGGUAUUCCGAAGAGCAUGCCUGUUUGAGUGUCAUGAAACUCUCAACUCCCAACUUUCUUAAUAGUCGGUUGGGAGCUUGGACUUGAGCGUUGCUGGUCUUUAUUGACCGGCUCGCUUGAAAUGAAUUAGCAGAUCCUUUUUGUAAUCGGUUCCACUCGACGUGAUAAGUAUUUCGCCGAGGACAUCUUAACGGAUGGCCGAGAUAAAGAAAGUCUUAGAUCCGCUUCUAAUUCUUAGCUAGAGCUUGCUCUACUAAACCCCU
Molecule: unclassified non-coding RNA, 300 nt
Filed under: uncultured Cystofilobasidiales
Lineage: Eukaryota; Fungi; Basidiomycota; Tremellomycetes; Cystofilobasidiales
Description: sequence contains 5.8S rRNA gene, ITS2
Rfam family: 5.8S ribosomal RNA (bases 1-71)
Source: RNAcentral